RNAcentral lists this ribosomal RNA (494 nucleotides) under uncultured bacterium. RNAcentral's name for it is "partial 16S ribosomal RNA". It matches the Rfam family "Bacterial small subunit ribosomal RNA", at positions 28 to 507 of the family's 1533-position model. The record is from RNAcentral.
GACGAACGCUGGCGGCGCGCUUAACACAUGCAAGUCGAACGGAAAGGCCUGCUUUCCCUUGUGGAUUGCGGGUACUCGAGUGGCGAACGGGUGAGUAACACGUGAGUGAUCUGCCCCCAACUUGGGUAUAAGCCUGGGAAACUGGGUCUAAUUCCCGAUAGGACUGCAGGGUGGUGCCUGUGGUGGAAAACGAUUUUCUAGUGGUUGGGGAUGAGCUCGCGGCCUAUCAGCUUGUUGGUGGGGUAAUGGCCUACCAAGGCGGCGACGGGUAGCCGGCCUGAGAGGGGGGACGGCCACAUUGGGACUGAGAUAAGGCCCAGACUCCUACGGGAGGCAGCAGUGGGGAAGAGUGCACAAUGGGCGGAAGCCUGAUGCAGCGACGGAGCGUGGGGGAUGACGGCCUUCGGGUUGUAAACUCCUUUCGACCGCGAGGAAGCCACCUGGUUGGAAGGGUGGUGACGGUAGUGGUAGAAGAAGCACCGGCUAACUACGUG